This 492-nucleotide ribosomal RNA is filed under the name uncultured bacterium. Its description in RNAcentral is "partial 16S ribosomal RNA". It matches the Rfam family "Bacterial small subunit ribosomal RNA", at positions 28 to 507 of the family's 1533-position model. The record is from RNAcentral.
GAUGAACGCUGGCGGUAGGCCUAACACAUGCAAGUCGAACGGCAGCACAGUAAGAGCUUGCUCUUACGGGUGGCGAGUGGCGGACGGGUGAGGAAUACAUCGGAAUCUACUUUUUCGUGGGGGAUAACGUAGGGAAACUUACGCUAAUACCGCAUACGACCUACGGGUGAAAGCAGGGGAUCUUCGGACCUUGCGCGAUUGAAUGAGCCGAUGUCGGAUUAGCUAGUUGGCGGGGUAAAGGCCCACCAAGGCGACGAUCCGUAGCUGGUCUGAGAGGAUGAUCAGCCACACUGGAACUGAGACACGGUCCAGACUCCUACGGGAGGCAACAGUGGGGAAUAUUGGACAAUGGGCGCAAGCCUGAUCCAGCCAUACCGCGUGGGUGAAGAAGGCCUUCGGGUUGUAAAGCCCUUUUGUUGGGAAAGAAAAGCAGCAGGUUAAUACCCCGCUGUUCUGACGGUACCCAAAGAAUAAGCACCGGCUAACUUCGUG